GACGAACGCUGGCGGCGUGCUUAACACAUGCAAGUCGAACGGAAAGGCCUCUUUCGGGGGGUACUCGAGUGGCGAACGGGUGAGUAACACGUGAGUAACCUGCCCUUGACUUUGGGAUAACUUCAGGCAACUGGGGCUAAUACCGGAUAGGAGCUCCUGCUGCAUGGUGGGGGUUGGAGAGUUUCGGCGGUUGGGGAUGGACUCGCGGCGUAUCGGCUUGUUGGUGGGGUAGUGGCUUACCAAGGCUUUGACGGGUAGCCGGCCUGAGAGGGUGACCGGCCACAGUGGGACCGAGAUACGGCGCAGACUCCGACGGGAGGCAGCAGUGGGGAAUAUUGCACAAGGGGUGGAGGCCUGAGGCAGCAGGGCCGUGUGCGGGAGGACGGCCUUCGGGUUGUAGAACGCGUUCGCUCAUGACUAAGCGUUGUGUGACGGUAGUGGGUAAAGAAGCACCGGCUAACUACGUG
This 467-nucleotide ribosomal RNA is filed under the name uncultured bacterium. RNAcentral describes it as "partial 16S ribosomal RNA". It matches the Rfam family "Bacterial small subunit ribosomal RNA", at positions 28 to 507 of the family's 1533-position model. The record is from RNAcentral.